CAAAUUAAGUUGUCUCACAGUUCAAUGAAAAGGCAACUGCUAAAGAUAAUUCAAGGACUUGUAUACGUAACAGACAGGAAAUCUAUUUUUUCUUUUAGUUUGACAGAUCGAUCAUACAGAAAAAAAAAAAAAAAAAAGCCAGGAAGACUACCCGGCAUAAACUUCAAUUGCCUCCAUCCUCCUCAGCCAAAACUCCUUUUUACCUCUUCAACUUUUCAGGAGCCAGAAUGUAAGGGGUGUAGCUUUGUUCGAUCCACCCAGUCUUGGACAAGCAUAGAAGGAUCAGAUGGAGCAGAACAGAGGGUUUGAAAGGAUCAUCUCCCAAACACAAGGACUGUUGUUAGGACUGGACACUGUCUGCCUUGUCACUAUCUACCUGUGUAAUCACCAGGCACAACGAAGGCUAUUCAUUGAAGACCCCACUCUGGGCUUCUUUGGCAUGCUUAACACUUCCGCUGACUAUAAGGGUCUUCGGAGUGUUCAAAGGAUAAAAGACUGAACACUAUUUAUGGUUUUGCUGCUAUUGGGAGGGUGGCUGAAAUCCGAAAUUCUGUUCUCAGACCAUGCUCAGUUCCUUCAGCUGAAUGGAUAGUAAAAAUAAAUAAAUAACCAUUAAAAAGAUGACCA
Molecule: long non-coding RNA, 627 nt
Filed under: Numida meleagris (helmeted guineafowl)
Lineage: Eukaryota; Metazoa; Chordata; Aves; Galliformes; Numididae
Description: lncRNA (ENSNMEG00000017549.1)
Source: RNAcentral